UUCUGGUUGUGGAAAGGCAAGUGAGGAGGAGCUGGGGACAUGUUUGGAUCCCCUCAAUCCAUCAGCGGAGUACCAGAUUGCCUACUUCCUGGCCAGCAGCCUCCCAACAUUUUCAUCAGGAUGGAGAUGGGCACCACGGUGAGGCAGUAAUUGGCCUCUGAGCUGGCCCCGGAGUUGACAUGCACCUUCAGGCUAUUGGCUAAGAGGAGACAGGGCUGCGGUGCAGCCACUGAAGACCACUGUUAUCACCGGUGAGAAGAGAGCCCAGAGAAGCUUCAAGACCAGAAACAACAGUUUCAAGACCAUGAAUAGUGGCUCCACGUUAACUACAUAUAAAUUAACAUGUCUGAAGAAACACUGGUGCUAUGCGGUCAUCCUGCCGGCCUAAAACAUAAUCUGUAAGAUCCUUGCUGGCUUGCCCAUGGAGGUGUUUGUCAGCGGACCGGUUUCCAUUGUCAGAAGAGAAGUGUUCACUGUUCUAGCCCUGGAACCAGCAGCCUGCUUCAGAGUGAAAACAGGAAAAAUCUGCUUACUGUGGAGAAAAUUUUGGGCUGAAAUCCAUAGCCACGUGGAGCUGGAGUGGACAAGGAGACAUCAGACAGGAAUCAUUGCAGCUCCAAGAGCACAUCUCCCAGACAUCUGUUCUCUGCCUCUCUCUGACCUGAGUCCAGCAUGGGUCACUGGAGUCUCUCUGCAUUAACUCGAUGCCACUUACACAUUCCCUUCCUGAUGUUUUUUUUGUUUUUCUUCUUCUUUUUUUUUUUUUAAUUUUUUUGUAGGAUUGUUACCUAUGCUUCUGCAAAAGGUGUGUCUGGACCAAUUCCAUGAUAGAAAAUCAGUUCACAUUUUGCCCAGAGCAAUGUAAUCAAGGUUGUUCCACUUCCAGCCCUAAGUGAGAUGCAUUUUCCUCCUCUUGUGAGAUGUUUUUGUCAUUAUUCAAGCCAAUUUUCUGCCAUCAGCCUAAACUACUACUUGCUGUAGUCUCUUCACCCCACAGAGAAAUCCCUUUUACCACUGUCUCCUGAUAACCUAGAGUCCUUGACUUCUAACAAGAAUAAGGGCUCACCGAGGGCUUAUCAGGCUUCCUGGCUUUAUGGGAGACCCAUCCUCUCUGAACGUGACUGAGUCUAGCUCACUGUGGAAACACAGCAGGGGCUCCUGAACGAUGUUCUUUCUUAUCUCACCAGUGAGGCCCUGGGCUGCUGCAGGGCUCCCGUGCCAUCUUACAGCUGGAUGCACAAAAACUUGUUGUCAAGACCUGCAAAGUUGAGGUACAGGAGAGCAGUUUCUCCAGGUGUGUUUCCUCUACUUUGUUUUCACGUGAACUCUUCCACUGUGACAAUAUCGAAGCUGGAGUUGGAGCCCCAGGGCCCUUCUGGGACACAUUCUGUAAGGACCUCUGAAGAAUCUGGAACAUCAGGAUCAUGGGCAGAAUGUUCUGUGGUGAAGCUGUGGGAGACAGCAGGUGGAGUUGUAUGAGAUUGCCUGGUGCGUGUGGUCUGGGGAAGCUCUUACCAGAGGCCUGUGGGAUAUUGGUGGAGGUGUCUUCUGAGGUCUUGAGGUGGCCUUCAGGACCCAUCUGUGGCAUGAAGAAAGGAAAGUUUCCUAUAGGCCCCCUGGGACUGAAUGAAGGAUACACUACCAGUCACUCAGGCCCCUUGCCUGACCGUACUCCUCCGUGAUUUCCGGGUCCCCUUCCUGCUGGACUGUCCCUUCCCCAGCCUCUCAGAGAGCCAUUAACAUGCCCAUCUCAGUGGGGGGAGGGGAAGC
Long non-coding RNA from Mustela erminea (ermine), 1770 nucleotides. RefSeq lists it as uncharacterized. The record is from RefSeq and is a predicted model, not a curated record. The transcript has 7 exons. NCBI's taxonomy places the organism in Eukaryota, Metazoa, Chordata, Mammalia, Carnivora, Mustelidae.